This 316-nucleotide ribosomal RNA is filed under the name uncultured bacterium. RNAcentral's name for it is "bacterial SSU rRNA". It matches the Rfam family "Bacterial small subunit ribosomal RNA", at positions 28 to 355 of the family's 1533-position model. The record is from RNAcentral.
GAUUAACGCUGGCGGCGUGCCUAACACAUGCAAGUCGAACGAGGUAGCAAUACCUAGUGGCAGACGGGUGAGUAACGCGUGGUCAACCUACCGUUGUGUGGGGGAUAACUAACCGAAAGGUUAGCUAAUACCGCAUACGUCUCCGAGCGGCAUCGCUCGGCGAAUAAAAGGANCAAUCCGCACGACGACGGGACCGCGUCCCAUUAGCUAGAUGGUGGGGUAACGCCUACCAUGGCNCCGAUGGGUAGCUGGUUGAGAGAGCGACCAGCCACACUGGGACUGAGAAACGGCCCAGACUCCUGCGGGAGGCAGCAGU